GACGAACGCUGGCGGCGUGCCUAAUACAUGCAAGUUGAGCGAUGAAGAUUGGUGCUUGCACCAAUUUGAAGAGCAGCGAACGGGUGAGUAACGCGUGGGGAAUCUGCCUUUGAGCGGGGGACAACAUUUGGAAACGAAUGCUAAUACCGCAUAACAACUUUAAACAUAAGUUUUAAGUUUGAAAGAUGCAAUUGCAUCACUCAGAGAUGAUCCCGCGUUGUAUUAGCUAGUGGGUGAGGUAAAGGCUCGCCAAGGCGAUGAUACAUAGCCGACCUGAGAGGGUGAUCGGCCACAUUGGGACUGAGACACGGCCCAAACUCCUACGGGAGGCAGCAGUAGGGAAUCUUCGGCAAUGGACGAAAGUCUGACCGAGCAACGCCGCGUGAGUGAAGAAGGUUUUCGGAUCGUAAAACUCUGUUGGUAGAGAAGAACGUUGGUGAGAGUGGAAAGCUCAUCAAGUGACGGUAACUACCCAGAAAGGGACGGCUAACUACGUG
Molecule: ribosomal RNA, 497 nt
Filed under: uncultured bacterium
Lineage: Bacteria
Description: partial 16S ribosomal RNA
Rfam family: Bacterial small subunit ribosomal RNA
Source: RNAcentral